UACGUAGGUGGCAAGCGUUGUCCGGAUUUACUGGGCGUAAAGAGCGCGCAGGCGGUCGUCCAAGUCGCGUGUGAAAGCCCCCGGCUCAACUGGGGAGGGUCACGCGAUACUGUUCGACUCGAAGGCAGGAGAGGGAAGCAGAAUUCCCGGUGUAGUGGUGAAAUGCGUAGAUAUCGGGAGGAAUACCAGUGGCGAAGGCGGCUUCCUGGCCUGUUCUUGACGCUGAGGCGCGAAAGCUAGGGUAGCAAACGGG
RNAcentral lists this ribosomal RNA (253 nucleotides) under uncultured bacterium. RNAcentral describes it as "partial 16S ribosomal RNA". It matches the Rfam family "Bacterial small subunit ribosomal RNA", at positions 524 to 776 of the family's 1533-position model. The record is from RNAcentral.